Long non-coding RNA from Pan troglodytes (chimpanzee), 707 nucleotides. RefSeq lists it as uncharacterized. The transcript is spliced from 5 exons. The record is from RefSeq and is a predicted model, not a curated record. Lineage: Eukaryota; Metazoa; Chordata; Mammalia; Primates; Hominidae.
GUGUUCUAUAGGGAAGAGAUAAAACCUAAACAGUCCCGGAAGCUGAGACAAGAAACUGAAAAAAAAAGGAAAGUCAGCAACAAGAUAAUGUAAGUCACAACUGAGCCAAUUAAGGAGCAGGAGAUGCAGCAGCAUGUCCCAAACAAAACUGAUUGGAGGUCAAGUGUGGACAACCAGAGCAAGUUGUUGCACAGCUAAUGUAUCCCCAGGUGUGAACUGAGUAACAUGAAGAAAGGCAUCCUCCUGCCACCUCCUGAAUCAGUAGAAAAAGACAAAAGCUUUUGAUGGGAUUAUGCUGGAGUCAAUGUCAUGGAACCAAACUGGAAAUUUUCUGGCAUGAUUUUAGGCGUUUUGCAUGAACUCUAAUUCAUUGAAAUGUAACAACCUUAUAAGGUCCCUGCAGGACCAUGUCACCCAAAAUAAUGCAUCAGAUAUAAGGACUUGUCUUUUACUCAUUUACUUCUUGGACCUACUUAGAAAACUGUGGCAGCACUGUUUUGUUAUUACUGUCUUAAGUGCAUGAUCCAACUUGGAAAGAUUCAACUGGCUCAUGGUUUGUACCGGGGGAACCAGGCCCAUGGUUGGGAUCCAGGGGUCCCUCCAGUCUCCUGUUCCAUGGUCGCACACACCUUGAGGGCACCCACACGGUUUGAUCGUCUCCUUAUAUUGCUGCUUGCAGACUCGUGACGGGGUUUCUCAUUCAUCUG